GACGAACGCUGGCGGCGUGCUUAACACAUGCAAGUCGAACGGAAAGGCCCCUUUGGGGGUACUCGAGUGGCGACCGGGUGAGUAACACGUGCGUAACCUGCCCUUGCCUUCGGGAUAACUUCAGGAAACUGGGGCUAAUACCGGAUCGGAAUCCUUGCUUCAUGGUGGGGGUUGGAAAGCUUCGGCGGGUUUGGAUGGACUGGCGGCUUAUCUGCUUGCUGGUGGGGUAGUGGCUUACCAAGGCUUUGACGGGUAGCCGGCCUGUGAGGGCGACCGGCCACACUGGGACUGAGGUACGGCAGAGGCAGGUACGGGUGGGAGCAGGGGGGAAUAUUGCAGGAUGGGCGGAAGCCGGAUGAAGCAACGCCGCGUGCGGGAUGACGGCCUUCGGGUUGUAAACCGCUUUCAGCAGGGGCGAAGCUUGUGGUGACGGUACCUGCAGAAGAAGCACCGGCUAACUACGUG
Molecule: ribosomal RNA, 465 nt
Filed under: uncultured bacterium
Lineage: Bacteria
Description: partial 16S ribosomal RNA
Rfam family: Bacterial small subunit ribosomal RNA
Source: RNAcentral